CCUACGGGAGGCAGCAGUGAGGAAUAUUGGUCAAUGGACGAGAGCCUGAACCAGCCAAGUAGCGUGAAGGAUGACUGCCCUCUGGGUUGUAAACUUCUUUUAUAUGGGAAUAAAGUGUUCCACGUGUGGGAUUUUGUAUGUACUUUAUGAAUAAGGAACGGCUAACUCCGUGCCAGCAGCCGCGGUAAUACGGAGGAUCCGAGCGUUAUCCGGAUUUAUUGGGUUUAAAGGGAGCGUAGGUGGAUUGUUAAGUCAGUUGUGAAAGUUUGCGGCUCAACCGUAAAAUUGCAGUUGAUACUGGCAGUCUUGAGUACAGUUGAGGUGGGCGGAAUUCGUGGUGUAGCGGUGAAAUGCUUAGAUAUCACGAAGAACUCCGAUUGCGAAGGCAGUUCACUGGACUGCAACUGACACUGAGGCUCGAAAGUGUGGGUAUCAAACAGGAUUAGAUACCCCAGUAGUC
RNAcentral lists this ribosomal RNA (460 nucleotides) under uncultured bacterium. RNAcentral describes it as "partial 16S ribosomal RNA". It matches the Rfam family "Bacterial small subunit ribosomal RNA", at positions 338 to 795 of the family's 1533-position model. The record is from RNAcentral.